AAUAAAAAUAAUUUUUAUAUUAAAAUUGGGGGGUUUUAGUAUAAAAUUUAGAAAAAAUUAUAAAAUUUAUAGUAAAUUAGUAUUGUAAAAGAAAUUUAAAAUAAGUGAAAUAAAAAAUUGUUUAAAAGUAAAUUUUAUUUAUUGUAUCUUGUGUAUCAGAGUUUAUUUAUAAUAAAAUUUGGUUAAAAUAAUUUCUCGAAUUUGAAAGAGAUAAUUAAUUAUAAAAGUUAAUGUUGCAUAAUUAUUUUUAAUAAUUAAUUUGAAAUGAAAUGUUAAUCGUUUUUAAAAAUAUCUAGUUUUUUUAGAAAAAAAUUUAAUUUUAUUUUUUUAAAUAAAAAAAAAAAUUAAUUAAUUAAUUUUUUUUAUUGGAGAAAAUUAUAUUUUAAGGGAUAAGCUUUAAAUUAAAAUAUUUAUAAUUAUAUGUAUAAAAAUAUUAAAACUUUUAAAAUUUAUAUUGUUUAAAAAUUUUAAUUUAUUAUAAAUUAAUUUUAAUAAAUUAAAUAAAAUUUUUUAAUAAUUUAAUUUUUUAUAAAAAAAUGAUUUUUAAUAAUAAAAAAUUAAAUAUAAUGAUAAAAUUAGUAUUUAUUUAAAAUAAAUAAUAUUAAUGAAAAUAUUUAUUAAAUAAUUUAAAAGAAUUCGGCAAAAUUUUAUAUUCACUUGUUUAUCAAAAACAUGUCUUUUUGAUAAUAAUUUAAGGUUUAAUCUGCCCACUGAUAAUUAUUAAAGGGCUGCAGUAUAUUGACUGUACAAAGGUAGCAUAAUCAAUAGUCUUUUAAUUGAUGACUUGUAUGAAAGAUUGGAUGAAAUAUAAACUGUUUCUAGAUUAUUUAAAGAAAUUAAUUUUUUAAUUAAAAAGUUAAAAUAAAUUUAAAAGACGAGAAGACCCUAUAGAGUUUUAUAAAUUAAUUAAUUAAAAUUAUUUAUAAAAUAAUUAAUAAUUAAAAUUAAAUUAAUUUAUUUUGUUGGGGUGAUAAAAAAAUAAAAUAAACUUUUUUUAAUUAUAAUACAUUAAUAAGUGAUUAAUUGAUCCAGAAUUAUUUUGAUUAAAAGAAAAAAUUACCUUAGGGAUAACAGCGUAAUUUUUUUUUUUAGUUCAAAUAAGAAAAAAAGUUUGCGACCUCGAUGUUGGAUUAAGAUAAAAUUUAUAUGCAAAAGUAUAAAAUUUUGAUCUGUUCGAUCAUUAAAAUCUUACAUGAUCUGAGUUCAAACCGGUGUGAGCCAGGUUGGUUUCUAUCUUUAAAAUAAGAAAAUAUUUUAGUACGAAAGGAAUAUUUAUUUAAAUUAAAUUUAUAUUUAUUGAAUAUUAUU
RNAcentral lists this ribosomal RNA (1308 nucleotides) under Patania chlorophanta. RNAcentral describes it as "16S ribosomal RNA". Lineage: Eukaryota; Metazoa; Arthropoda; Insecta; Lepidoptera; Crambidae. The record is from RNAcentral.